Molecule: ribosomal RNA, 253 nt
Filed under: uncultured bacterium
Lineage: Bacteria
Description: partial 16S ribosomal RNA
Rfam family: Bacterial small subunit ribosomal RNA
Source: RNAcentral
GACGUAGGGCGCGAGCGUUGUCCGGAUUUAUUGGGCGUAAAGAGCUCGUAGGUGGCUUGUCACGUCGGGUGUGAAAGCUUGGGGCUUAACUCCAGGUCUGCAUUCGAUACGGGCUGGCUAGAGGUAGGUAGGGGAGAACGGAAUUCCUGGUGUAGCGGUGAAAUGCGCAGAUAUCAGGAGGAACACCGGUGGCGAAGGCGGUUCUCUGGGCCUUACCUGACGCUGAGGAGCGAAAGCGUGGGGAGCGAACAGG